CCAAUAGCGUAUAUUAAAGUUGUUGCAGUUAAAAAGCUCGUAGUUGAAUUUCGGGAUUAGUACGUUGGUCGUGCCUUAGGUACGUACUGGUGUUACUGGUUCCUACCUUCUGACGAACCAUCAUGUCAUUAAUUUGGUGUGGCGGGGAAUCAGGACUGUUACUUUGAAAAAAUUAGAGUGUUUAAAGCAGGCUCGCGCUUGAAUACAUUAGCAUGGAAUAAUGAAAUAGGACGUUGAUCCUAUUUUGUUGGUUUCUAGGAUUGACGUAAUGAUUAAUAGGGAUAGUUGGGGGCAUUAGUAUUCAAUUGUCAGAGGUGAAAUUCUUGGAUUUAUUGAAGACUAACUACUGCGAAAGCAUUUGCCAAGGAUGUUUUCAUUAAUCAAGAACGAAAGUUAGGGGAUCGAAGACGAUCAGAUACCGUCGUAGUCUUAACCAUAAACUAUGCCGACUAGGGAUCGGAUGAUGUUAAUUUUUUAACGACUCAUUCGGCGCCUUACG
Molecule: ribosomal RNA, 499 nt
Filed under: uncultured Glomeromycotina
Lineage: Eukaryota; Fungi; Glomeromycota
Description: partial small subunit ribosomal RNA
Rfam family: Eukaryotic small subunit ribosomal RNA
Source: RNAcentral